Molecule: ribosomal RNA, 429 nt
Filed under: Pseudomonadota bacterium
Lineage: Bacteria; Pseudomonadati; Pseudomonadota
Description: Proteobacteria bacterium partial 16S ribosomal RNA
Rfam family: Bacterial small subunit ribosomal RNA
Source: RNAcentral
UGGGGAAUAUUGGACAAUGGGCGAAAGCCUGAUCCAGCCAUGCCGCGUGUGUGAAGAAGGUCUUCGGAUUGUAAAGCACUUUAAGUUGGGAGGAAGGGCAGUAAGCGAAUACCUUGCUGUUUUGACGUUACCGACAGAAUAAGCACCGGCUAACUCUGUGCCAGCACCCGCGGUAAUACAGAGGGUGCAAGCGUUAAUCGGAAUUACUGGGCGUAAAGCGCGCGUAGGUGGUUCGUUAAGUUGAAUGUGAAAGCCCCGGGCUCAACCUGGGAACUGCAUCCAAAACUGGCGAGCUAGAGUAGGGCAGAGGGUGGUGGAAUUUCCUGUGUAGCGGUGAAAUGCGUAGAUAUAGGAAGGAACACCAGUGGCGAAGGCGACCACCUGGGCUCAUACUGACACUGAGGUGCGAAAGCGUGGGGAGCAAACAGG